This is a non-coding RNA of Ictidomys tridecemlineatus (thirteen-lined ground squirrel), 195 nucleotides long. Lineage: Eukaryota; Metazoa; Chordata; Mammalia; Rodentia; Sciuridae. The record is from Rfam.
AUAGCUUCUCGGCCUUUUGGCUAAGAUCAAGUGUAGUGUAUCUCUCUCUCUCUCUCUCUCUCUCUAUAUAUAUAUAUUUUUUUUUUAAUUACUUUUGAAGAGUUGUUUCCAAACCAGGCUGCAUGACACCAGAAGCCCCUGAGGCAAGUUUUAAAAAUAAACCUUGCCAGGCCUUCCUGGUCAGGUUCUGAGUUC